RNAcentral lists this ribosomal RNA (253 nucleotides) under uncultured bacterium. RNAcentral describes it as "partial 16S ribosomal RNA". It matches the Rfam family "Bacterial small subunit ribosomal RNA", at positions 524 to 776 of the family's 1533-position model. The record is from RNAcentral.
UACGUAGGGGGCUAGCGUUGUCCGGAAUCAUUGGGCGUAAAGGGCGCGUAGGCGGCCCUUCAAGUCGGGGGUGAAAGCCCAGGGCUCAACCCUGGAAUUGCCUUCGAUACUGUUUGGCUAGAGACCGGAAGAGGUAAGUGGAACUGCGAGUGUAGAGGUGAAAUUCGUAGAUAUUCGCAAGAACACCAGUGGCGAAGGCGGCUGACUGGUCCGGUUCUGACGCUGAGGCGCGAAAGCGUGGGGAGCAAACAGG